GAUCAUGGCUCAGGAUGAACGCUAGCUACAGGCUUAACACAUGCAAGUCGAGGGGAAACGACAUCGAAAGCUUGCUUUUGAUGGGCGUCGACCGGCGCACGGGUGAGUAACGCGUAUCCAACCUGCCCACCACUUGGGGAUAACCUUGCGAAAGUAAGACUAAUACCCAAUGAUAUCCCACGAAGGCAUCCGAAUGGGAUUAAAGAUUUAUCGGUGAUGGAUGGGGAUGCGUCUGAUUAGCUUGUUGGCGGGGUAACGGCCCACCAAGGCUACGAUCAGUAGGGGUUCUGAGAGGAAGGUCCCCCACAUUGGAACUGAGACACGGUCCAAACUCCUACGGGAGGCAGCAGUGAGGAAUAUUGGUCAAUGGGCGAGAGCCUGAACCAGCCAAGUAGCGUGCAGGAUGACGGCCCUAUGGGUUGUAAACUGCUUUUAUAAGGGAAUAAAGUGGGUCUCGUGAGACUUUUUGCAUGUACCUUAUGAAUAAGGACCGGCUAAUUCCGUG
RNAcentral lists this ribosomal RNA (505 nucleotides) under uncultured bacterium. RNAcentral describes it as "bacterial SSU rRNA". It matches the Rfam family "Bacterial small subunit ribosomal RNA", at positions 15 to 507 of the family's 1533-position model. The record is from RNAcentral.